Molecule: long non-coding RNA, 908 nt
Organism: Mauremys mutica (yellowpond turtle)
Lineage: Eukaryota; Metazoa; Chordata; Testudines; Geoemydidae
Exons: 5
Source: RefSeq, a predicted model, not a curated record
UGGAGUUGAACUUGCUCAGCAUGCUUGAAAAUUGAGAAGUCUUCUUUGUUUCUGUUAUGAUAUUACUUGCCACUGAAAAUGAAUAUAUAGAAGAAUGCGGCAACAAGCAAGGCAAAGCAGCUGACCUAGAUGUGUGUGGCUUUUUUCCUCUCCAGGCUAUCCUCUGUUGGGAAGAAUGUAAUCUGGGCCUCACAGCAGUCAGGUGGCAGCCAUCCUGUAGUAAGCAGUUGGAAUUGGACUACCUUCUAUGGUCUAGCAUGCUCCUGUUCCUGAGAUACCUAGUUGACUCAAUCUGGAAAGUGGCUGCAUUUGUGAGUACUCCAGGAGAAUUUUCUGUGUCUGGAAAUAUUUAUUGUACUGUCUAACAUUCUACCUGCUCCAAAAGUGUUUUGAAAGGAAAAGAUCUUAAAUCUGAAGAAACCUGCCCUUUAUAAUGAUUGAGUGACGCCUCCGAGAGCAGAUUGCAGCUCCCUGACUGAUUAAAAAUCUGUCCCAGCAAAAAUUAGAAUGUCAAGGGAUCACUCUAACUUCAGCCAUUGGCAUAACUGACUGUUUGAAGUGGAAGAUCCAGAUCUAGUAGAACUCCACUAUACCAUUAUGAAGAACACUGCUACAUUUCCUCUCUUUAUAUGCUACACAUGAGGGUAGCAGGCAUACAAGUUGCAGACAGUCUUCUUCCACUUUUCCACCAGUGAAGAAUUUGCCUACCAGCUAUUUCUUGCCACUUUAUAAGGCACAAAAGUGGCCUUAGUGGACCAGUGAUUCUUGGUGUUAGUUUAAAAAAUCAUUCUGAGAUUGAGGAAUAAUUGUGAGUUCUCCACAAAAUUUCCAAUAUUAUACUAUGUGUUGCAAUUUAUUGCUGGUGGUCAGUUCUAAUGUACUAAUAUUUUAUAUAUGUAUAAGAGAAC